RNAcentral lists this long non-coding RNA (4522 nucleotides) under Salmo salar (Atlantic salmon). RNAcentral's name for it is "lncRNA (ENSSSAG00000114342.1)". Lineage: Eukaryota; Metazoa; Chordata; Actinopteri; Salmoniformes; Salmonidae. The record is from RNAcentral.
ACAUGAUCUCUCUCUACAGGUAAAACCAGGGCAUCACCAGAAUGCUGUUAUACCUGUAUACAUGAUCUCUCUACAGGUAAAACCAGGGCAUCACCAGAAUGCUGUUAUACCUGUAUACAUCUCUUUCUACAGGUAAAACCAGGGCAUCACCAGAAUGCUGUUAUACCUGUAUACAUGUUCUCUCUCUACAGGUAAAACCAGGGCAUCACCAGAACACUAUUAUACCUGUAUACAUGUUCUCUCUCUACAGGUAAGUGGGAAUACCCAGACCAACCUUUUUCCCUGACAAGAGGAACUAUAAAGAUGGAAUGUGUCUCCGGAAGGUGGUGAUUGACUCCGCUGUCCUGGCGUCGUGAGGGAGCUUGUUCCACCAUUGGGGUGCCAGAGCAGCGAACAGUUUUGACUGGGCUGAGCGGGAACUGUGCUUCCUCAGAGGUAGGGGGGCCAGCAGGCCAGAGGUGGAUGAACGCAGUGCCCUUGUUUGGGUGUAGGGCCUGAUCAGAGCCUGAAGGUAUGGAGGUGCCGUUCCCUUCACAGCUCCGUAGGCAAUCACCAUGGUCUUGUAGCGGAUGCGAGCUUCAACUUGCCGAGGUUCAGCUUGAGCUGGUGAUCCGUCAUCCACACUGAUUUUUAACUCAGUUCAAUUUACUAGAUGACUUUUAAUCAAUGAAAAGUAAUUAUAACUUAUGUUUAUGUGGUGCUGACUCAAAACUAAAUGAGAAGUUAUAUUAACUCAAUUUGUUUAAGUUAUCAUAACAAAUUCACUUUUUAUCCAACAAGCUCUACUGCAGCUAGAUUUGUUCUAAUUGUUUUUAAUAUCUGUACAUUGAGUGAUUGAUUAAUCUUAUGCAGUAAAGAUAAAUAACAUGCAUUUUUCAAAAUUCAUCAAAUCAUUUAGUUACAUUUUUUGCAGCCAUGACUGAAAUGGUUGUUGAAGUUUUAAAUCGCCCAGGUGGUCUCUUCACACUGUUCCUGACAGUCAUUAUGAGUGCAGGUCACGGGUGAAUAAAAAAUGCAACUGUUGGAUUUUGUUACUGUGGCUGGAUUUCAAUAGAAAUUACACAUCACUUUGCAAGCCAGCAUACAGUGCAUUCGGAAAGUAUUCAGACUUGACCCUUGACUUUUUUCAGCCUUAUACAAAAAUUGAUUAAAUAGUUUUUUUUUCUUCCUCUCAUCAAGCCACAAACAACACAGCAUAAUGACAAAGCAAAAUAGGUUUAGAUAUUUUUGUACAUUUAUAAUAAAUAAAAGACUGAAAUAUCACAUUUACAUAAGUAUUCAGACCCUUUACUCAGUACUUUGUGAAGCACUUUUGACAGCGAUUACAGCCUUGAGUCUUCUUGUGUAUGACACUACAAGCUUGGCAUACCUGUAUUUGGGGAGUUUCUCCCAUACUCCUCUGUAGAUCCUCUCAAGCUCUGUCAGGUUGGAUGGGGAGCGUCGCUGCACAACUAUUUUUAGGUCUCUCCAGAGGAUGUUCGAUUCGGUUAAAGUCCGGACUCUGGCUGGGCCACUCAAGGACAUUCAGAGACUUGGCCCGAAGCCACUCCUGCGUUGUCUUGGCUGUGUGGUUAGGGUUGUUAUCCUGUUGGAAGGUGAACCUUCUCCCCAGUCUGAGGUCCUGAACACUCUGGAGCAGGUUUCCAUCAAGGAUCUCACUGUACUUUGCACCGUUCAUCUUUCCCUCAAUCCUGACUAGUCACCCAGUCCCUGCCGCUGAAAAACAUCCCCACAGCAUGAUGCUGUCACCAACAUGCUUCACCGUAGGGAUGGUGCCAGGUUUCCUCCAGACGUGACGCUUGGCAUUCAGGCCAAAGAGUUCAAUGUUGGUUUCAUCAGACCAGAGCAUCUUGUUUCCCAUGGACUGAGUGUCCUUUAGGAGCCUUUUGGCAAACUCCAAGCAGGCUGUCAUGUGCCUUUUACUAAGGAGGGGCUUCGGUCUAGCCACUCUACCAUAAAGGCCUGAUUGGUGGAGUGCUGCAGAGAUGGUUGUCCUUCUGGAAGUUUCUCCCAUCUCCACAGAGGAACUCUGGAGCUCUGUCAGAGUGACCAUUGGGUUCUUGGUCACCUACCUGACCAAGGCCCUUCUCCCCCUAUUGCUCAAUUUGGCCGGGUGGCCAGCUCUAUGUAGAGUCUUGAUGGUUCCAAACUUCUUUCCAUUUAGGAAUGAUGGAGGCCACUGUGUACUUUGGGACCUACAAUGCUGCAGACAUUUUUUGGUACCCUUCCCCAGAUUUGUGCCUCGACACAAUCCUGUCUCAGAGCUCUAAGGACAAUUGCUUCAACAGGGCUUUUACUCUGACAUGCACUGUCAACUGUGGGACCUUAUUUAAUCAGUUGUGUGCUUUCCAAAUCAUGUCCAAUCAAUUGGAUUUACCACAGGUGGACUCCAAUGAAGUUGUAGAAACAUCUCAAGGAUGAUCAAUGGAAACAAGAUGCACCUGAGCUCAAUUUCGAGUCUCAUAGCAAAGGGUCGGAAUACUUACAGUACCAGUCAAAAGUGUGGACACCUACUCAAUCAAAUAUAUGUUAUAUUUCAGAUUCUUCAAAGUAGCCACCCUUUGCCUUGAUGACAGCUUUGCACACUCUUGGCAUUCUCUAAACAAACUUCAUGAGGUAGUCACCUGGAACGAGUUUAAAUUAACCGUGCCUUGUUAAAAGUCAAUUUGUGAAAUUUCUUUCCUUCUUAAUGUGUUUGAGCCAAUCAGUUGUGUUGUGACAAGGUAGGGGUGGUAUACAGAAGAUAGCCCUAUUGGGUAAAAGACCGAGUCCAUAUUAUGGCAAUAACAGCUCAAAUAAGCAAAGAGAAAGGGCAGUCCAUCAUUACUUUAAGACAUGAAGGUCAGUCAAUCCGGAAAAUGUCAAGAACUUUUACAUUUCUUCAAGUGCAGUUGCAAAAACGAUCAAGCACUAUGAUGAAACUGGCUCUCAUUAGGACCGCCACAGGAAAGGAAGACCCAGAGUUACCUCUGCUGCAAAGGAUAAGUUCAUUCGAGUUACCAGCCUCAGAAAUUGCAGCCCAAAUAAAUGCUUCACAAGUAACACACAUCUCAACAUCAACUGUUCAGAUGGAGCUGUGUGAAUCAGGCAUUCAUGGUUGAAUUUCUGCAAGUAAACCACUACUAAAGGACCAGUAAUAAGAAGAGACUUGCUUGGGCUGAGAAACACGAGCAAUGAACAUUAGACUGGUGGAAAUCUGUCCUUUGCUCUGUUGAGUAUAAAUUUGAGAUUUUUUUAUGUGUCUUUGUGAGAGGCAUAGGUGAACGGAUGAUCUCAGCAUGUGUGGUUCCCACUGUGAAGAAUGGAGGAGGAGGGGUGAUGGUGUGGGGGUGCUUUGCUGGUGACACUGUCAGUGACUUAUUUAGAAUUCAAGGCACACUUAACCAGCGAUACGCCAUCCCAUCUAGUUUGCGCUUAGUGGGACUAUCAUUUGUUUUUCAACAGGACAAUGACCCAACAACACCUCAAGGCUGUUUAAUAAGGGCUAUUUGACCAAGGAGGAGAGUGAUGGAGUGCUGCAUCAGAUGACCUGGCCUCCACAAUCACCCGAACUCUACCAAAUUGAGAUGGUUUGGGAUGAGUUGGACCACAGAGGGAAGGAAAAGCAGCCAACAAGUGCUCAGCAUAUGUGGGAACUCCUCCAAGACUGUUGGAAAAGCAUUCCAGGUGAAGCUAGUUGAGAGAAUGUCAAGAGUGUGCAAAGCUGUCAUCAAGUCAAAGGGUGGCUACUUUGAAGAAUCUAAAAUAUAUUUUGAUUUGUUUAAAACUUUUUUGGUUUCUACAUGAUUUCAUAUGUGUUAUUUUAUAGUUGUGAUGUCUUCACUAUUAUUCUACAAUGUAGAAUAAAGUAAAAAUAAAAUAAAACCCUUGAAUGAGUAGGUGCAUCCAAAAUUUUGACUGGUACUGUAUGUAAAUAAGAUAUGUUAUUUUUAAUAAAUUUGCGCAAAAAUAACUUUUCUGUUUGUAUUAUUUUUUUGUGUGUAGAUUGAUGAGGACAAAUGUUUUUAAUCAAUUUUAGAAUAAAACUAAUGUAACAAAAUGUGGACAAGUGAAGGGAUCUGAAUACGCUAUAUGUGACUUGCAGGAAGGGUUGCACAAUUCUGGUAAAUCUUCCAGGUUUUCCAGGAAUCCUGGUUGGAAAAUUCCUUAAUAUUCUCAAACCAGAAUAUAUAUUUUUUUAUCUGGUAAUUUGGAGAAAAUUACUGGAAUUUUGCUACCCUACUUGCAGGCCUUACGUGGCCUGUAAACCUCAAGUUUCAGACAACUGUAGGAGGGUGAAACUAGACCUCAUAUAAGGCCUUAUGAGAUAUGUAAUGUAUUGUCAAAGAGAGUAUAAUUAUAAUAUUCGCCUAGCAACUCACUUGGUGAAAGGCCACAGGACUGAACAUCAACAGAAAUCAACAACCAUGUCUCUGUCAAUAACAAAUGCAGUCAUGGGUGCAGUCACUACAAAAGGCAAGGCACACUGGGAAAUGAUAUUGGAGGCAUGGCUUAGUGGGUGUAUUAUUCAAAAUGUUCAAGC